AAGUCGUAACAAGGUUUCCGUAGGUGAACCUGCGGAAGGAUCAUUAACACGUAUCCAAACGUUAAAACCCCCCCCGUGAACCUUCAUCCUGCUCUUGUAACCCGCGUAGUUCGCAAUCUCUGAUAAAUCAUAGCCCGGAAAGUUGUAGUGAUUCAGAGACCUCUGGCUACGUGAGAACAUUGGAACAGUUACAAUCGAGCGGUAGUUUCAUAGGCAUUGUUUCCCCAAGCAGUCAGUGUCUGAAAGUGUCACCGAUUGUGCAAGGAUACAGUUUAAUGUGAAGCUCAAUGUAAUACAUUGGGUACAAAAACCGAACAACUGUUAACAAUGGAUAUCUUGGUUCUC
RNAcentral lists this unclassified non-coding RNA (345 nucleotides) under fungal sp. Its description in RNAcentral is "partial internal transcribed spacer region". The stretch from base 1 to 46 matches the Rfam family "Eukaryotic small subunit ribosomal RNA", at positions 1786 to 1831 of the family's 1831-position model. The record is from RNAcentral. Lineage: Eukaryota; Fungi.